GAUUUGGCUGGCCGGUCCGCCUCACCGCGUUCACUGGUCCGGCCGAAUCUUUCCUUCUGGCGAAGCGUCAUGGCCUUAACCGGCCGUGGCGGGGAACCAGGACUUUUACUGUGAAAAAAUUAGAGUGUUCAAAGCAGGCAAUCGCUUGGAUACAUUAGCAUGGAAUAAUGGAAUAGGACAAUGGUUCUAUUUGUUGGUUUCUAGGACCGUUGUA
RNAcentral lists this ribosomal RNA (214 nucleotides) under Campeiostachys nutans. RNAcentral's name for it is "Elymus nutans partial small subunit ribosomal RNA". The stretch from base 92 to 214 matches the Rfam family "Eukaryotic small subunit ribosomal RNA", at positions 738 to 864 of the family's 1831-position model. Lineage: Eukaryota; Viridiplantae; Streptophyta; Magnoliopsida; Poales; Poaceae. The record is from RNAcentral.